GAUGAACGCUGGCGGCGUGCCUAAUACAUGCAAGUCGAGCGAACCACUUCGGUGGUGAGCGGCGAACGGGUGAGUAACACGUAGGUGAUCUGCCCAUCAGACGGGGACAACGAUUGGAAACGAUCACCAAUACCGGAUAGGACGAAAGUUUAAAGGUGCUUCUGGCACCGCUGAUGGAUGAGCCUGCGGCGCAUUAGCUAGUUGGUAGGGUAAAGGCCUACCAAGGCGACGAUGCGUAGCCGACCUGAGAGGGUGAACGGCCACACUGGGACUGAGACACGGCCCAGACCACUACGGGAGGCAGCAGUAGGGAAUAUUCGGCAAUGGGCGAAAGCCUGACUGAGCAACGCCGCGUGAAUGAUGAAGGCCUUCGGGUUGUAAAAUUCUGUUAUAAGGGAAGAACGACUUUAGUAGGAAAUGGCUAGAGUGUGACGGUACCUUAUGAGAAAGCCACGGCUAACUACGUGCCAGCCGCCGCUGUAA
Molecule: ribosomal RNA, 483 nt
Filed under: uncultured bacterium
Lineage: Bacteria
Description: partial 16S ribosomal RNA
Rfam family: Bacterial small subunit ribosomal RNA
Source: RNAcentral